UACGUAGGGGGCAAGCGUUGUCCGGAUUUAUUGGGCGUAAAGCGCGUGUAGGCGGCCAGAUAGGUCUGCUGUGAAAACUCGAGGCUCAACCUCGAGCUGUCGGCGGAAACCAUCUGGCUAGAGUCCGGAAGAGGAGAGUGGAGUUCCUGGUGUAGCGGUGAAAUGCGCAGAUAUCAGGAAGAACACCUAUGGCGAAGGCAGCUCUCUGGGACGGUACUGACGCUGAGACGCGAAAGCGUGGGGAGCGAACAGG
RNAcentral lists this ribosomal RNA (253 nucleotides) under uncultured bacterium. RNAcentral describes it as "partial 16S ribosomal RNA". It matches the Rfam family "Bacterial small subunit ribosomal RNA", at positions 524 to 776 of the family's 1533-position model. The record is from RNAcentral.